RNAcentral lists this ribosomal RNA (819 nucleotides) under Triticum aestivum (bread wheat). Its description in RNAcentral is "partial small subunit ribosomal RNA". Lineage: Eukaryota; Viridiplantae; Streptophyta; Magnoliopsida; Poales; Poaceae. The record is from RNAcentral.
AUGAGCAAAACCACCAGAAGGAUCAGAGCCGUCAUCGAGGCCUUCGUCAUUGGCAGCAACGGUAAUCCAUCUACGCCGGACAUACUGCAGAGGACAUUUCAAACCUUUGAAAUCAACGGAGAUAAAGGCCGCCAUGACUCCUGGGGAUGGAAUCGGUUUGCCAAGGGAACCAUUCUGGAGAAAAAAUUCUUAGCAGAGAGGCACGUCACGUUUGUAUGCGCCAUCAUACUCAUUGAUGACAAACCUGCUAUUCUUGUCCCGCCUUCAGAUAUAGGGGCUCAUCUUGGCCGCCUGCUUGAUCAUACUGACGGGACAGAUGUGUCAUUCAUCGUUGGCGAUGAGACAGUCCAUGCUCACUGGGCGGUGCUUGCUGCCCGCUCACCGGUCUUCAGAGCACAGCUCUUCGGUUCCAUGUCUGAGGCCACAAUGUCAUCCAUCAGGCUGCACGAUAUCACGCCUGCAACGUUCAAAGUUAUGCUUGGGUUCAUAUACAUGGAUGAAUUGCCUGGAGAAGACGAGUCCGAUGACUAUUCCACUGAGAUGCUCCAGAAUCUACUCGCCGCGGCCGAUCUAUAUGCACUUGAUCGGCUGAAGGUUAUUUGUGACCAGAAGUUAUGGAAUACAGUUUCAGUAGAUACAGUUGCAACUAUGUUAGCUUGUGCCGAAACCUAUAACUGUCAGGAACUGAAGAACAACUGCAUUGACUUCUUCGCGGUGGAAGCAAAUUUGAAGGAGGCCAUGUUCACUGAUGGUUAUGCCUUGUUGCUUCUAAAAUUCCCAUCGAUUACCGCUGAGCUCAAAAGGAGGGUUCGGGCAUAA